CACACUGCUUUUUACUUCACAAGAUGAUAAUUAAUGGACAGGUGUGGAUUACUUGUGGAUUAUUGUGAUGUUUUAUCAGCUAUUUGGAUUCUCAUUCUGACGGCACCCAGUCUCUGCAGAGGAUCCAUUGGUGAGUAAGUGAUGUUAUGCUACAUUUCUCCAAAUCUGAUAAAGAAAUAAACUCAUCUAGAUCUUGGAGUGAGUACAUUUUCAGCAAAUUUUCUUUUUUUGGUGAACUAUUCCUGACUUUGCAUUGCACAGAACUGAUUGUCUUGAUUAGAGAAUGUGUACAUUUUUAUCAGUGUUACUCUUUGGGAGGAAGUCAUAUGGGGUCUGAUCGGCAAGCGAUCUGUCUGUACAGUCAUCCUGUAGUGAACAGCUCACGGAUAAACAAGCACUGCACUGCGGUCGACUCCAGCUCUUGUCAGUUUGAGGAACAGAAGACAGCAAUGAUGAAAGUCCUGUCACACUAAAACGGCAUUAGUCAUCUCGGUGUGGGGUGUGAGAUGCUCUUACAUGGGUGAUAUAAGAUGAAAUCUUAUGAAAAGAACUCAAACUUCAGAUCCCAGGCCACCACUAUCUCAUUUGAUUGAAGAAUCAAUCAAAUCGAUUGGUUGCUUCAAACAGAGUUGACAUAAUAAUUAUCAUACUUAUUAAACUGUCAAUAAUACAAUAUAAUAUUUAUUGUUAAUGUAAAACUAAACUGCAAUUAUUUGAAGGGGUCCAAUUAUGCUCUUUUACAAAGUCUUGAUUUUGUUUUAGGGGUGUACUAGAACAGGCUCUAAGGCUACGUUCACACUGCAGGCUGAAACGACCCAAUUCCGAUUUUUUUGCCCCUAUGCGACCUGUAUCUGAUCUUUUCAUGACAGUCUGAACGACACAGAUCCUAUCUUUUCAAAUGUGACCCAGGCCACUUGGGUAUGUGGUCCUGAAUCCGAUUCGUAUCCGAUCUUUUGAAAUGCGACCUCCGUCUGAACGGCCAGGCCACAUAUAUCCGACCCGUACGUCAUUGAUACGCUACAAACGUCAUAAUUCUGCGUUGAAGUAGGCGGGAACGAGAAGAAAGAAGCCACUCACAUCAGUAUCUCACCACUCCUGGCUGCGACUCUGCACCCACACGUUUCUCUGUACCGACGUUGCUAACACUGCUCCAC
This is a long non-coding RNA of Cyprinus carpio carpio, 1154 nucleotides long. NCBI's taxonomy places the organism in Eukaryota, Metazoa, Chordata, Actinopteri, Cypriniformes, Cyprinidae. The record is from Ensembl.